Molecule: ribosomal RNA, 589 nt
Filed under: uncultured bacterium
Lineage: Bacteria
Description: bacterial SSU rRNA
Rfam family: Bacterial small subunit ribosomal RNA
Source: RNAcentral
UCCUACGGGAGGCAGCAGUGGGGAAUAUUGGACAAUGGGCGCAAGCCUGAUCCAGCCAUGCCGCGUGUGUGAAGAAGGCCUUUUGGUUGUAAAGCACUUUAAGCGAGGAGGAGGCUACUUGGAUUAAUACUCUAGGAUAGUGGACGUUACUCGCAGAAUAAGCACCGGCUAACUCUGUGCCAGCAGCCGCGGUAAUACAGAGGGUGCGAGCGUUAAUCGGAUUUACUGGGCGUAAAGCGUGCGUAGGCGGCUUCUUAAGUCGGAUGUGAAAUCCCUGAGCUUAACUUAGGAAUUGCAUUUGAUACUGGGGAGCUAGAGUAUGGGAGAGGAUGGUAGAAUUCCAGGUGUAGCGGUGAAAUGCGUAGAGAUCUGGAGGAAUACCGAUGGCGAAGGCAGCCAUCUGGCCUAAUACUGACGCUGAGGUACGAAAGCAUGGGGAGCAAACAGGAUUAGAUACCCUGGUAGUCCAUGCCGUAAACGAUGUCUACUAGCCGUUGGGGCCUUUGAGGCUUUAGUGGCGCAGCUAACGCGAUAAGUAGACCGCCUGGGGAGUACGGUCGCAAGACUAAAACUCAAAUGAAUUGACGGA